AGAGUUGAUCCUGGCUUAGAACGAACGCUGGCGGCGCGUUUAAGCAUGCAAGUCGAGCGGCAAGGGCCUUCGGGCCCCUAGAGCGGCGGACGGGUGAGUAACACGUGGACAAUCUGCCCCCCGGCCCGGGAUAGCCCAGGGAAACCUGGAUUAAUACCGGAUGAGACGGGACCCGCGAUGGCGGGAUCCGGGAAAGGCGCUGCGGCGCCGCCGGGGGAUGAGUCUGCGUCCCAUUAGCUAGACGGCGGGGUAACGGCCCACCGUGGCGACGAUGGGUAGCCGGCCUGAGAGGGUGGACGGCCACAUUGGAACUGAGACACGGUCCAGACUCCUACGGGAGGCAGCAGCUAAGAAUCUUCCGCAAUGGGCGAAAGCCUGACGGAAGCGACGCCGCGUGAACGAAGAAGGCCGUGAGGUUGUAAAGUUCUUUUCGGGAGGGGGAACAACCGUGGCAGGGAAUGGCCGCGGGAUGACGUGAAUCCCGGAAUAAGCCCCGGCUAACUACGUGCCAGCCGCCGC
RNAcentral lists this ribosomal RNA (519 nucleotides) under uncultured bacterium. RNAcentral describes it as "bacterial SSU rRNA". It matches the Rfam family "Bacterial small subunit ribosomal RNA", at positions 8 to 518 of the family's 1533-position model. The record is from RNAcentral.